This 435-nucleotide ribosomal RNA is filed under the name uncultured Roseburia sp. Its description in RNAcentral is "bacterial SSU rRNA". It matches the Rfam family "Bacterial small subunit ribosomal RNA", at positions 341 to 792 of the family's 1533-position model. Lineage: Bacteria; Bacillati; Bacillota; Clostridia; Lachnospirales; Lachnospiraceae. The record is from RNAcentral.
ACGGAAGGCAGCAGUGGGGAAUAUUGCACAAUGGGCGAAAGCCUGAUGCAGCGACGCCGCGUGAGUGAAGAAGUAUUUCGGUAUGUAAAGCUCUAUCAGCAGGGAAGAAAAAUGACGGUACCUGACUAAGAAGCACCGGCUAAAUACGUGCCAGCAGCCGCGGUAAUACAUAUGGUGCAAGCGUUAUCCGGAUUUACUGGGUGUAAAGGGAGCGCAGGCGGUACGGCAAGUCUGAUGUGAAAGCCCGGGGCUCAACCCCGGUACUGCAUUGGAAACUGUCGAACUAGAGUGUCGGAGGGGUAAGUGGAAUUCCUAGUGUAGCGGUGAAAUGCGUAGAUAUUAGGAGGAACACCAGUGGCGAAGGCGGCUUACUGGACGAUAACUGACGCUGAGGCUCGAAAGCGUGGGGAGCAAACAGGAUUAGAUACCCUGGUA